UACGUAGGGGGCUAGCGUUGUCCGGAAUCAUUGGGCGUAAAGAGCGUGUAGGCGGCCAGAUAAGUCCGCUGUGAAAUCUCGAGGCUCAACUUCGAGCUGUCGGUGGAAACUAUCUGGCUAGAGUCCGGAAGAGGAGAAUGGAAUUCCUGGUGUAGCGGUGAAAUGCGCAGAUAUCAGGAGGAACACCCGUGGCGAAAGCGGCUCUCUGGGACGGUACUGACGCUGAGACGCGAAAGCGUGGGGAGCAAACAGG
RNAcentral lists this ribosomal RNA (253 nucleotides) under uncultured bacterium. Its description in RNAcentral is "partial 16S ribosomal RNA". It matches the Rfam family "Bacterial small subunit ribosomal RNA", at positions 524 to 776 of the family's 1533-position model. The record is from RNAcentral.